RNAcentral lists this ribosomal RNA (490 nucleotides) under Streptococcus mutans. Its description in RNAcentral is "bacterial SSU rRNA". It matches the Rfam family "Bacterial small subunit ribosomal RNA", at positions 28 to 494 of the family's 1533-position model. Lineage: Bacteria; Bacillati; Bacillota; Bacilli; Lactobacillales; Streptococcaceae. The record is from RNAcentral.
GACGAACGCUGGCGGCGUGCCUAAUACAUGCAAGUGGGACGCAAGGGAACACACUGUGCUUGCACACCGUGUUUUCUUGAGUCGCGAACGGGUGAGUAACGCGUAGGUAACCUGCCUAUUAGCGGGGGAUAACUAUUGGAAACGAUAGCUAAUACCGCAUAAUAUUAAUUAUUGCAUGAUAAUUGAUUGAAAGAUGCAAGCGCAUCACUAGUAGAUGGACCUGCGUUGUAUUAGCUAGUUGGUAAGGUAAGAGCUUACCAAGGCGACGAUACAUAGCCGACCUGAGAGGGUGAUCGGCCACACUGGGACUGAGACACGGCCCAGACUCCUACGGGAGGCAGCAGUAGGGAAUCUUCGGCAAUGGACGAAAGUCUGACCGAGCAACGCCGCGUGAGUGAAGAAGGUUUUCGGAUCGUAAAGCUCUGUUGUAAGUCAAGAACGUGUGUGAGAGUGGAAAGUUCACACAGUGACGGAGCUACCAGAAAGGACG